This 459-nucleotide ribosomal RNA is filed under the name uncultured bacterium. RNAcentral's name for it is "partial 16S ribosomal RNA". It matches the Rfam family "Bacterial small subunit ribosomal RNA", at positions 338 to 795 of the family's 1533-position model. The record is from RNAcentral.
CCUACGGGUGGCAGCAGUGAGGAAUAUUGGUCAAUGGACGAGAGUCUGAACCAGCCAAGUAGCGUGAAGGAUGACUGCCCUAUGGGUUGUAAACUUCUUUUAUAAAGGAAUAAAACGAGGCACGUGUGCCUUUUUGCAUGUACUUUAUGAAUAAGAACGGCUAAAUCCGGGCCCGCAGCCGCGGUCAUACGGGGGAUACGGGGGUUAACCGGGUUUAUUGGUUUUAAAGGGGACGUAGAUGGGUUGUUAAGUCAGUUGUGAAAGUUUGCGGCUCAACCGUAAAAUUGCAAUUGAUACUGGCAGUCUUGAGUACAGUUGAGGUAGGCGGAAUUCGUGGUGUAGCGGUGAAAUGCUUAGAUAUCACGAAGAACCCCGAUUGCGAAGGCAGCUUACUAAACUGUGACUGACAUUGAUGCUCGAAAGUGUGGGUAUCAAACAGGAUUAGAUACCCCGGUAGUC